CUCCAACCCUCAACGUUCGAAUUUCCGUAGAGCUACCAUUUUCUCUCGCUUGAUAACCCUUCUUCUUCCCCCUCCUCUCCGAUCCCCCCACUGCGCGCGAUAGAGUAAUGGCGGCGGCUGCAAAGAUAUCUCGAGCCGUCGUACGCCGACCCUCGGGAUUCUCCAAGCUCUCCACUCCUCGUCGAAGACUCUCGUCGAGGUCCCCGGCAAAAGAUAAACGGGCGAAGCGUAUCGAAUUGUCCCGAAAACUCGAUUCUUUUUUCACUCCGGAGAAGAAGAAGAGUUCCGAGACGUCAAAGAAGGGGAAAUUGAAAACAGUAGGCAGUGAUUCGGAGGACAUGGGUUUGACGGGGAGUUCGAAAGUGAACGCUUUGAGGCGAUCGAUGCUGGAGGAGGCGAUGAACAGCCUGCCAGCGCACGGGGCAGGGCGCGUCAUGUACAUGGUGAAGACCUUCGAGAGGCUUCAGUCGGUUGUCAUGACGGCAGAGUAUGUAGAUGGAGAGGAAACGAGAAAAGUGAAGAAUUGGGCACUGCCUGGAUUGGAGUGUCGUCCCGAGGCCAAGUUGAGUGAUUUUUCCCCUUCGCCUGUUUCAUGUUCGGCAGAAUGUCUAGCUGAAGAAGGAACUUUGACUGAGCAUUCGUCUGUGAAGAACAAGGAUAGAAGAUUCAGUAGCGGAAGCAAUGAAUCUUGUAAAGUCCAAAGGAACGACCAAAAUAGCAAAGUCCCAUCAAAAAGAAGGAAUGACAGACUUAAAGCUAAAAGCCCACUGCCUUUCAAAUUGAGUGCAAAGGUUUCCAAGCACAUAAGCUUCCUUGAGCAAAUCAAACAGGAGAGAGAUAGACUGAUGAAGGUUACAUUAUUUUUUAUUAUAAUUUGUUUAUAUUUAAAUCUCUUCGGUUUGACUGAUAAAGUUAAUGUCGUCUGUUUAAAUUAAAAAAAAAAAGAAAAGAAAUAAGAAGACUUCCUGAAGUACUUGGACCAAGUGUCUUAAAACUUCGAAUCAAUAAAGGUCGUCAACUAUGUUGAUCCUUAGAAGAAGAUUUGGGAACCCCUUAAAGAUUAAACUUACUAUUCAAGAUACAAAUUGCUGUGAAUGUGAAACAACACGAUUCAUCAAUUGUUGGAAAGCCAUGAAAAAUGGCAAUUGUCUUGGUGUAUGUUCACCAAAAGAUUAUGCUAAUAUUAUUUUGUUUAUCUAUUCUUAUUUUAAUUCAACCAAUUGUCGAUAUAUUGUUAUAAACAAGC
This is an RNA transcript of Zingiber officinale, 1246 nucleotides long. RefSeq lists it as uncharacterized. The transcript has 5 exons. Lineage: Eukaryota; Viridiplantae; Streptophyta; Magnoliopsida; Zingiberales; Zingiberaceae. The record is from RefSeq and is a predicted model, not a curated record.